CAGUCGAACGGAAGUCGUUGUAAUGAAUUUGAAGUGGACAGAGAACUUGUUCAAAGAAAGCAGAUGAUGAUUUACAACAAUGGCUUUAGUGGCGGACUGGUGAGUAACGCGUAAGCAAUCUGCCUAUUAGAGGGGAAUAACAAUGAGAAAUCAUUGCUAAUACCGCAUAUGCCAUAAGAAUCACAUGAUUCCAGUGGGAAAGGAGUAAUCCGCUAAUAGAUGAGCUUGCGUCUGAUUAGUUAGUUGGUGGGGUAACGGCCUACCAAGACGACGAUCAGUAGCCGGACUGAGAGGUUGAACGGCCACAUUGGGACUGAGAUACGGCCCAGACUCCUACGGGAGGCAGCAGUCGGGAAUAUUGCGCAAUGGAGGAAACUCUGACGCAGUGACGCCGCGUAUAGGAAGAAGGUUUUCGGAUUGUAAACUAUUGUCGUUAGGGAAGAUACAAGACAGUACCUAAGGAGGAAGCUCCGGCUAACUACGUGCCAGCAGCCGCGGUAAUACGUAGGGAGCAAGCGUUAUCCGGAUUUAUUGGGUGUAAAGGGUGCGUAGACGGACUUACAAGUUAGUUGUGAAAUCCCUCGGCUUAACUGAGGAACUGCAACUAAAACUGUAAGCCUUGAGUGCAGGAGAGGUAAGUGGAAUUCCUAGUAUAGCGGUGAAAUGCGUAGAUAUUAGGAGGAACACCAGUGGCGAAGGCGACUUACUGGACUGCAACUGACGUUGAGGCGCGAAAGUGUGGGGAGCAAACAGGAUUAGAUACCCUGGUAGUCCCACCCCGUAAACGAUGGAUACUAGGUGUAGGAAAUAUUAAGUUUUCUGUGCCGUCGCAACG
Molecule: ribosomal RNA, 835 nt
Filed under: uncultured bacterium
Lineage: Bacteria
Description: bacterial SSU rRNA
Rfam family: Bacterial small subunit ribosomal RNA
Source: RNAcentral